UCUCUGUGCUUGCUGCACGAACAGCUGCGCACAUACACGCGUACGCGUACGCACGCAAGGUGCUAUUACAGCCUCUUGUGUUGCGCCAGCCUUAGAGAAAGCAGAUAGACGCACGCUGUGCCUCCACCGAUAGACCUGCUACACUCGCAGCGGGACCUCCCAUUCGUGCCUGAACACAUACACACACGCACACACGAGAGGCAAGUAGCAGGGCAAUGCCCUCCUUCUCUAGAUCUGCGCUGGACAUGCUUCAGGCAGCCGAGGGUGCCCUCACACAACGGCGCUGCUACGGCAGCGGUGUACCGGGAGGGGCAAGCUCCUUCGCUUACAAGACCAUCAACACAGGAAGUGGCGGGUACGCUACUGGUCAAUGGUACAGAGACCCAAACAGCAGCGCUCUGUCGCCCGUGGAAAACGUGGAAGAGCUGCAGCAACAACUUGGUCGGGCCAUGCGUGAGCUGAUUGAGUUGCGCGCUGAGCUGGCUGCUGAGCGAGAUCGCCGACACGAGACGUUAAUCGCGAUGGGGCGGCAGUGGAAGGAAGAUAUUUUGGUCGAAGUCCAUCGGCGUGGCGCGGCCCUUCAGUCGGAUGUGUCCGCCGUAGAGGAGAAGAUGAUGGCGCAGUGGAAGGAGAGCAACGAGGGUCGUCUUGUGAUGCGUCGCCAAUUAGAGGAAGCCAUGCGCGCAGGCAAGAUUCGCGACACGAACCAAUUUCAGCUGCGGGAAGAGGUGCAGGAAACGGCUCGGCACCUAGAGGAGCGAGUGGACAUGGCCCUCGCGCAAAGCAGCGCCGCCCGCGCGGAUUGCAGCCGCCAGCUCGAGCAAGAGCGGGCCACCCUUUCUGAACGUCUGGACGUUGAGCUGCUGCGGCUAGUGGAGAUGAGGCGCGACGAUCAGCGUGCGCUGCAGCAAGCAAGAGAGCUGAUGCGUGACGAGGGCCUGAGAGUGAGGGACGACAUACGCAGGGUGGUUCAGGAGGUGUGGGAGACGUCGGCAUCCGCGCUUGUGAAAACCGCCACGGAGCCCAUCGAGCAACUCCGCGCGGAGUUGCGAGAAACCAAAGCGGCCGCGCAAGCAAUGGAGGAGAGGGUGGCGGACUGUGUGCGAGCGUGCCAGGCGGAGUGCCGAACGGUCACGACGACCACGACGGAACGACUCCAUGCUCUGGAGUCGAAGGAGGCCGUUGUGAUUUCGUCGAUCGACCGCGCCGAGCGCAAGGCAGACUCCGCGUACGAGACAGCGCGCCACAUGGAGGCCACGAUAGCGGCCGCGAAGGAUGCAACAGAGCGAGCGCUCGUGCAGGUGGCCGGUGCUGCGGAGCGGACACUGAAGGUGGAGCACGCGCUCGCAGAUCGCGACAGUCGCCUCGUUGCAGUUGAAGCGCAGUUGCAUGCCAUCACCACUGCAGAGGGUCUAAGAGCGGAUGUGGAAGCCUGCAAGCGGCAGGCGGGCCGCCUGGAGAGCCGUGUGGAGGCUGCGGGGGCACUGUGCACACGAGUGGAGCAGCUGGCGGACCGCGCUGCACAGCAAGUGGCGUCGUUUGCCGAUCGUAUUGAGAGCUGCGAGAGGUCGACACAGCGAAGCGUUGGCGCCGUGCAGAGAGUGCAGGACGGUCUGGAAGCCUGCGAGUCAGAGGGCCAUCAGAUGCGCACCCGCUUUGAGACCAGCGAGGCGGUACUCCAGCGCCACACACACCUCCUUGCGCAGCUGGAACAGCAGAUUUCUGGGCAGGAAAAUCGCCUGGGGCUGUGGCGUCAGCAGCAGGAGCAGCACGUGAAGGAUCAGAUGACGGUGCAGCGUGAGCUGACAGAGCGCGCGGAGGUGACGCACACCGUUGCAUCCCGAGCCCAGCAAGUCAGCAGUGAUGCGCGUGCAGAGGUGCACCGUCUGGAGCGGCGCAUCGACGACGUCGAUCGCCGCCUCACUUCUACUUCCGCCGAAACGACUACCCUACGCGGUUGUAUUGAUAGCCAACACACGCAGGCUCUUGAGGCACAGCGGCAGCAGCAGCAGUUAGCGGACGAGUUACAGUCGCUGGCAUCCAAGGUGGAUGAGCGGAUGGCACCGGUAAAGGAGCUCGUGCGGAACUCGGAGGAGCGGAUGAAGCGGGCGGAAGCUCAGGCGCAGGGCCUUGGGAAAAAGCUGGCGGAGUGUGAGGAGCGCCUGCACGAAAUGGGCCCCCGCGUGCUGGACCACUUGAAGGACGCAGUGCGGCACCAUGUCGGUGAGGCCCAGAAACGCCUCUUCGCCGCCAUGAACGAGGGCAUGUCGCGGGUGACGGAGCGAGUAGCGGCGGUGGAAGAGGCUGCAGAUCUGUCGCAACAGCGCGUGGCGGAAAUGCCACAGCAGUUGACCGCCAUGCAGCAAGCGUCCGCGAAGCUGCAACGCCACGUUCAAUCCCUCGAGGCCAGUCUUCAGUCCUUAAGCGGACAGACACAGAAACUCGCAGUUCAUGCAGACACGCAGGCAGGCGACCGUCAGCGCUUGGGCACGGUGCAGCAGGAGCUGAUGUGCCUCACUGCGGUGCAGCAGCGCACGCAGCAAGACGUGAGGCUUCUCCAGGAAGCAAUGCGGGUGCUGCAAGCCAUGGCAACAGUCGGCUCAAUGAGGGAUUUUUCGCUCAGCGAGCUGGGCACGUCACAGGCUCGCACGGCAAGCACGGAGAUGGCUCCUGCGGCGGAUGCGAUCUCGUCGUCCCCAUCGGCACACCAACCUCCCAGCUCCGGCGUGCGCACAUCAUCGCACGCAUUGGUGGCCGGUGAGCAUUCUCAGCCGCCGGCGCAGCGGGCAGCCGCGGUUGCAGCACCGCCGCUGGCGAACACUUCUGGGGCUUCUUUGCAGGAGCUGCAGGAUCGCCAGCGCGCGUCUUCUGGCAGCAGGAGCAGCAGCAGCAAAGAGGGAAGCGAAGAGCGGCCAGCACUGCAUCUCAGCGGCGUGUCCUCUGUGCGGCCGUCGAAUGGGCAGGAGGAGCGCUUGCACUCUCUUGUAGAGGCGGGAGAUGUCAGCACCGCGUCGGCGGAUGGCGACGACACUGUGGAGGCCUUCACGGUGAGGCCUGGAGCGGUGGCGAGGCUGCCACGCACCUCCGCCGGGACCAAUGGCUCAGCGUCGAUGCCACUGUUUGCCACGACAAGGACCGAAACGGUGGAGCAGCUGUCCGCGCCGGCACACGACUCCACGCAGGCCUCGGCGGUCGGCAAUGUCAGUCACUGCACGGCGAUUCGCGAAUUCACCACCAUCACGUCGUCUUCCUCGUUAUCUGACAGCGACUCGAGCGAAGACGAUAGGAGGAGGGUGCAGGAGCGUGAGGUGCCCACGCGGCGUGGGGCGCCCUCCGAGGAGCGCACCGACGACGUCUCAUCUGACCUGACCACCGCUAUCAUGCUGACGAGCGAGGCGUCGACGAAGCAGAGCAACCAACGGGGUAGUCGCCCACCACCGUCGUCGGGGCAACAACGUGCGGCAAAGAUGUCCACCGCCUGGAGGCAGUGCUCUUCUGGGUCGUCAGAGGAGGGAACGCCAGUGGCACGCCGAGCAGCAUGGGGGAGCGCGCCUCCGCCACAGUCACAGCAUCUGAUAGGUGCCAGCGAGAGCGAGUCGGAGAGCACGUUGCAAGGUGCCGGGGCGCUGGACGACAGCGACGAUCGCGUCCAGGCCAUGCCGCGGCACGAUUCUGACACAGAGGAGGUCGAGAGAGCGGUCACAGCUGAGGAGGCGGUGGCCGGCGUGGCACGCCUGCAGCCCACAUGCACAAGCCAGGCAGCCGCCACUACUUAUUUCGCGCGCUCCCCUGGCAACCCAAACUGGAAUGACUGGGACGACGACGGCGAAGAGGACGACGACGAGAAGCGGCGGGGGAACAUCGAGGAAGAAGACGAGGCGCUUGAGCCGAAGCCCACCAGGCCCUACGCAGCGCCACACGCAGCGUCUGCCGCAAGCGAAGACGACACAGAUGAUGCCGUCAUGCACUUUAAGGACGCGGAAUCGUCGAGCUGCACACCAGGGCCGCGAGAAACUGACGCCACCACUCCCGCUGCGGGGCUUGCCGCGACAGUGAUGCACCGUCAGCAAGACGCGGCCGAUGAUCUGCGCGCGACGCCGCGCCGAAUGUUUGUGAGCACCUCCGACGAUGGCCGAGGGGUGGGUACGCAGCUGCCUGAUUCAGUUCCUCGGCAUGGGAGAGGCACGACUUCUUCAUCCUCAUCGUCAGCAGAGAGAGCGGAGGCGCUGGGCCUGCGAGGUGCUCGGCAAAGCCCACCGCAGCGCGCAGCCACGCAGAUGCGCCAGUAUACCAACUUCGACGACUCCACCAGCAGUGACGACGACUAAGCGUUGCGGCAUCAUCGCUGAGUGAUGAGCCGCCACCGUUGUUUGCUGGCCUCCCCCCUCUUCCCUGCGCCGGGGUGAGCGUUUUCUUCUUUGUGCUGCUCGCGCUGCAGUGCGGGGGCGAGUCAGGCGCCUGCCUCGCAGCGCGCGCGAGUGUGCGUGUACACUUCCGCCGAGCUCACCCGGCCUGUUUCUUAGUUGUGUCAGCAUGUUAUAGAGACCUCAUUGCCUUAUGUUUCGCUCUGUGGGCAGGUGCAUGUGUGCGUGCUUGUGUGUGUGUGUGUGCUCGAUUGAACGGCGUGUUGAGGCGUUGGCAUGCCUUUAUCCGCACAGGUGCGUCGGCGAACAGGACAACUCUCCGAACUGCCUUCAUGGACAUGUGGGUGCAUGUAUACUCGUGCGGUGAGCCGGCGUCGUGUGUGUGCGUCGGUGCUGCUUGCAUGUUGACGUUUUUUUUUGCUUCUCCACUUUCUUCUCUGUGUGCCUCGUUCGCUCCAGCCGUGUCAACCGAUGCGUGCAGUCCAUCGCGCGACGCCCACGAGAGAAUGGAGAAGGGUGGGCUGAUGCUCGCGCUCUUGGUGCCAGGCUUGUGUCCGUGAGCGCGCUUCUCUACGUGUGUGCUGCAAGCGAGAUCAAG
RNAcentral lists this unclassified non-coding RNA (4962 nucleotides) under Leishmania donovani. Its description in RNAcentral is "gene:LdHU3.12.0170(CDS-product:hypothetical_prote in_conserved)". The record is from RNAcentral. Lineage: Eukaryota; Euglenozoa; Kinetoplastea; Trypanosomatida; Trypanosomatidae.